GGCGUCAUUUCUAGGCGUCCAACACACACUUAUUUGUUCUCGCGUUGGACUGAAGGCUCUCUGAAAUCUCUCUCACUUGGUAAGUAUUUAAUUAUAUUUUUUUUAUGGUUUUAUUUCGACGGUUUGAAUUGAUUCUUGUUUAUUAUUAAAUAAUUCGUGUUCCCGAUUUUAUUUAUUCUAUGAUACCCGUGUACAGCUUGAUAUAAUACCAUGAUUAAUUUCCAUGACCACGUGAAUUUUUUUUUCGUCACGUCAUUGUUCUCUUUUUAAUUUGAGUAUCUUUAUAUCUAUGUUUGCUCUUUGAUUUUAGAAUCUUCAGCCCGAAAAUGAGGGCUAAGUGGCGUAAGAAGCGUAUGCGUAGGUUGAAGCGCAAGAGGAGGAAGAUGCGUGCGAGGUCCAAGUAAACCUCAUGGCCGGCUCCGGAUAUUUCAUUGUCAUGUUUUGGUUAAAAAAUACAACAAUGCUGUAAUAACUUUUAUAUUGAUAAAUCAUUAAAUAAUUAAUGUUCUACAUCUAAAUUUUUGUUUUUAUUUAUAUUGGUUAAAGUAUACGUUUACUUUUGGUUAAUGCAUUUUCUGAUUUUCCGGUAUAUCUCUAGUUUUGUAGGUUAAAAUAUAUUUGUUAAUAUAUU
Molecule: non-coding RNA, 631 nt
Organism: Cinara cedri
Lineage: Eukaryota; Metazoa; Arthropoda; Insecta; Hemiptera; Aphididae
Source: the annotation of a GenBank genome assembly